UAUUAAAAAUUUUAUCUAUUUAUAUUGUUAAAAAUUAUCAUGGUUGAUAGAAUAAUCAAAAAGAGACACGUGGCAUGCCACAUAUACUUCAUGUUAACAUAUAAAGACUAAUUUUUAACAACAAUAAUGGAUAAAAUUUUUCAUA
Molecule: non-coding RNA, 145 nt
Organism: Gossypium arboreum
Lineage: Eukaryota; Viridiplantae; Streptophyta; Magnoliopsida; Malvales; Malvaceae
Source: Rfam